GUUUAGCAUUAAUUCAUCAGGAAUAGAAUAGUAUACUUUGUCUCAGGACAGAUGGUUGUAGUAGUGAAGAAGCAGGUUCUACUGUAUAUUCUCUGGUUUUCUGAUUGUUGCAUAAACUUUUUGAUUUUGACUGCAUUGGCAAGUGUCCCAGUCCUAAUCCAGAAGCAGCAAGUUCUCUGUGUGUAACUGUCAAUCCAGCACAGGUUGGGUCCAGUGAUUGUUUGGGUGUGUUUCCAGCACAGGUGUAAGCUAUAAGCUCCAGGUGAGAAGGAAAUAAUUCUCCAGCAGCAACACCUGUGGUAGGAGGUCCUGGCAACUGCAGAUUCAUUGCACCUGAAUUGUUGUGAAGCUUAGUGAAUUCAACAGUGUUAACUAAUGGUAAUCUCUGUGAUUAUAUAAUAGUAAUGGUGGUAGUGAUUUUUUCUUCAUAGUGGACAGGAAUUGCUUGAGAAGAAAGAGAUGGUUUCUAACCUGGUAUUCUUCUUCAUGUUUCAAGAAUCAGUGAACGCAAAAUCUUAAGUCUCAAGAUUUCUGCUUUUUUGAAGGUUUUUCUUGCCAGCCAAUGGAUUUCUUGUUUUGAGGGAGACUCUUCUUUAGCACAAAAGAUGCAUGUUCCCCUGUGGGGCAAUGGACUCGUACAGCGUCAUCAGAAAACUAAUCGGUUCAGAAUGAAAAAUUGCAAGUGAAUGACAGCAACAUCCAUCAGCCUUGCCCUGGAAAGAGAAGAGCUCUUAUCCGGAGCCUCAACAAUAAGUUGUGACAGUGUCAACUGUAUCUUUUACUUAGUUUAAAAGGUCACAACAGGAACUCAUGCUGGGAAGAAGCUGAGCAAAUUCAGAACAGAAAACAGUUAAAUGGGACUUAAACUUCAAGAAACUAGAAAGAUGUUUCACUCUUAAUUUCUUGACAGGUUCAAAUGAUCCUUGAUGCCUUACGGUGAUGCAUAUUAUAUCUAUAUAGUAUAGCUGGAGAAAUUAAGAGAGAUCAGAAAGACAGGCCCAGUUCUUUUUGAACUUGAACUCUGAGGUGUGAUGGACAUACAAGUUUUUAAUGUAUAGAAUUAGGAUUAUCAAGUUUUGUUGUGUAAGUUACAUAAAGCAUAUUUAAUUUUUCAUAGUGAGCUAAACAGCUGAUUGUAACCAAAGUAAAGCUAGAUACAUAAAAUAAAGAUGUGUAAUUAUUUUACUAUACAGAGAAGGUCAUACUCUAAACUCUACUUUUGCUUUUUUUUGUAAUGAUGUACAAUUUGUAGAGUUAGUCCCAAUUUACACGGGCAUGAGAUGUCUGAAAUUGCCAUUUUAAGAAAUAAAAGGCUGAGCGAUACUUUUAGUCUGCUGUGUAACAACAUCAAAUAUGGGUAUUACUCAGCUGCUUUUUUCACCUGUGAGAAGAAAUUUACAAAGCUAAUACCAUGAUUAGUAUUACUACCCAGAGCUGUUCUCUUUCCAGUGACAGUCAAUGACUCGGUCUGACUUUUUAAUUCACAAUUCUUCAAAGCAGCUCUGAAGACAGUUUUAUUGCCCUGUUUAAGAUUUCACUAAAGUGUCCAUGUCUGGAAGAGUGAUCAAUAAUACUAGCUGUUAAAGUGACCUUAUGGUGGCA
Molecule: long non-coding RNA, 1602 nt
Organism: Columba livia (rock pigeon)
Lineage: Eukaryota; Metazoa; Chordata; Aves; Columbiformes; Columbidae
Exons: 3
Source: RefSeq, a predicted model, not a curated record